This is a long non-coding RNA of Scophthalmus maximus (turbot), 1050 nucleotides long. RefSeq lists it as uncharacterized. The transcript is spliced from 3 exons. Lineage: Eukaryota; Metazoa; Chordata; Actinopteri; Pleuronectiformes; Scophthalmidae. The record is from RefSeq and is a predicted model, not a curated record.
AUCGCGGAGGGCAGGCGCGCGGUCGCUGUGGACUUUGGCGUCGGACGGCGGCGAUGAGAGUGAAAAAAAACAUCCUCCGUGGCCGGCGAGAGGAAGCCGCGUCGCCAGGACGGUGAAUCCUGCAGCUUCCCGCGCAGGACGGCGAGGGAGCGAUCUGUGUUCACACAUCAUGCCUCCUGAUACUGACUUUUGUGACUCGAUGAAGACUGUUUCCAUCAGAUGCUGUCACAGCCAGUUUUAAACUGAAGAUGGACCGAAGACUUCAGCCUCCUCUGGUUAAUGGCGUGGUGGUAAUGUAGUGAAGCAGGUCCUCUCAGUUUAUGUUCCAGCUUAUUACACUUCACAAUGUGUUUUGUGUAACCAGACCUGUCUUGGCCCUGUGGACAGAGGACUCAUUCUGCCACUGUCCUGUGUCAUUAAGUCCCUGUGCUGUGCCGACCUGACCUCUGUGGCGUGAGUGACGUCCCUGGCUCUGACCCCGUCCCCCGCAUGUCUCACUGUCUGUCCUCCGUCCUCCACGCUCUGUCUUGUCUGUCAGCUCGGCUCACGGUCACACCCCGCCGUCCUGCCUGCCUCGGAGAACAUUCAACGCUGUCGGUGAGUUUGGUAUGGAUCACGUAAAAACCAUCGACCGUUGAUUGUGCCCCGUGGCUCGCUCUGAUGACGUCCGGAAGUAGAGGAGGAGAAAAUGAACAAAAGGGGCAAGUGGGCGCAUGCAAAUCCAAAGAUGAAGACACACACAUGCACAGAAGUGACACUGUGUUUCCGCUGUACCCAAAGACCCAAAGGUCACAAUCAACAUUCAUUGCUGUCGCUGGGUUGGACUUUGUAGAAAAGCUCACUGAACAAUGAGUGCAACUGUGGCCCAGAUCUGCCCGACUCGUGUCUCAACCAAUCAGCCGACCGGAUGUGAAGCACUCUGAUUUCUUUAUUUAUAUAUACUUCUUGUUUUUUUAACUUCUAUUUCCUCCUUCUCUUCCUCCCUCCCCGGCGCGGGGAGUCUUCAGGGGAACAGAGAAAAAGGGAGAGAGACACACACACACACACACA